GCUUACCAUGCAAGUCGAACGAUGAACCGCUUUCGGGCGGGGAUUAGUGGCGAACGGGUGAGUAACACGUGGGCAAUCUGCCCUGCACUCUGGGACAAGCCCUGGAAACGGGGUCUAAUACCGGAUACUCACUGCCUUGGGCAUCCAAGGUGGUGGAAAGCUCCGGCGGUGCAGGAUGAGCCCGCGGCCUAUCAGCUAGUUGGUGAGGUAAUGGCUCACCAAGGCGACGACGGGUAGCCGGCCUGAGAGGGCGACCGGCCACACUGGGACUGAGACACGGCCCAGACUCCUACGGGAGGCAGCAGUGGGGAAUAUUGCACAAUGGGCGAAAGCCUGAUGCAGCGACGCCGCGUGAGGGAUGACGGCCUUCGGGUUGUAAACCUCUUUCAGCAGGGAAGAAGCGAGAGUGACGGUACCUGCAGAAGAAGCGCCGGCUAACUACGUGCCAGCAGCCGCGGUAAUACGUAGGGCGCAAGCGUUGUCCGGAAUUAUUGGGCGUAAAGAGCUCGUAGGCGGCUUGUCACGUCGGUUGUGAAAGCCCGGGGCUUAACCCCGGGUCUGCAGUCGAUACGGGCAGGCUAGAGUUCGGUAGGGGAGAUCGGAAUUCCUGGUGUAGCGGUGAAAUGCGCAGAUAUCAGGAGGAACACCGGUGGCGAAGGCGGAUCUCUGGGCCGAUACUGACGCUGAGGAGCGAAAGCGUGGGGAGCGAACAGGAUUAGAUACCCUGGUAGUCCACGCCGUAAACGGUGGGCACUAGGUGUGGGCAACAUUCCACGUUGUCCGUGCCGCAGCUAACGCAUUAAGU
This 805-nucleotide ribosomal RNA is filed under the name Streptomyces coerulescens. RNAcentral describes it as "bacterial SSU rRNA". It matches the Rfam family "Bacterial small subunit ribosomal RNA", at positions 46 to 865 of the family's 1533-position model. Lineage: Bacteria; Bacillati; Actinomycetota; Actinomycetes; Kitasatosporales; Streptomycetaceae. The record is from RNAcentral.